GAUGAACGCUGGCGGCGUGCCUAAUACAUGCAAGUCGAGCGAACGGACGAGAAGCUUGCUUUUCUGAUGUUAGCGGCGGACGGGUGAGUAACACGUGGAUAACCUACCUAUAAGACUGGGAUAACUUCGGGAAACCGGAGCUAAUACCGGAUAAUAUUUUGAACCGCAUGGUUCAAAAGUGAAAGACGGUCUUGCUGUCACUUAUAGAUGGAUCCGCGCUGCAUUAGCUAGUUGGUAAGGUAACGGCUUACCAAGGCAACGAUGCAUAGCCGACCUGAGAGGGGGAUCGGCCACACGGGAACUGAGACACGGUCAAGCCUCAUACGGGAGGCAGCAGUAGGGAAUCUUCCGAAAAGGACGAAAGCCUGACGGAGCAACGCCGCGUGAGUGAUGAGGGUCUUCGGAUCGUAAAACUCUGUUAUUAGGGAAGAACAUAUGUGUAAGUAACUGUGCACAUCUUGACGGUACCUAAUCAGAAAGCCGCGGCUAACUACGUG
RNAcentral lists this ribosomal RNA (497 nucleotides) under uncultured bacterium. RNAcentral's name for it is "partial 16S ribosomal RNA". It matches the Rfam family "Bacterial small subunit ribosomal RNA", at positions 28 to 507 of the family's 1533-position model. The record is from RNAcentral.